Molecule: long non-coding RNA, 1067 nt
Organism: Ruditapes philippinarum (Manila clam)
Lineage: Eukaryota; Metazoa; Mollusca; Bivalvia; Venerida; Veneridae
Exons: 3
Source: RefSeq, a predicted model, not a curated record
CUCGUAAUCACGUGGUCAAACAUUUUGGCAAUAUGGCGGCCAAGUGCCGAAAUUUUUACCUGUCGGAAACUAUUAGGUAGUUUAUGUUCGUAAUAAGAUUUUUAUUUGUCUAUCCUUGGCUUAUCAACAGAUUAUAUAUAGUUUUAUCAAGUAACGAUAUUACAGCGCAACAAAAAAGCUGUGAAAAUAACAGACGAUGAAGUAAAAUUGAUGUUACGAUCCUAUUAAGCUAAUCCAACAAAGUGGUCGGACAUAAUUGAAGAAAUUAAACAAAAUAUUAACCAGUUAAGCCAGCCAGCCAAAGAUCUUUAUAGAAAUGCAACUGGGAAGCAACUACGGGACCGUCUGUCAACAAAACUUAGCAAGCUGAUGGCCAAACAGCCGAAUCAGAUCGAAAACAUUGAUAUAAGAGAGCUUGUUACGGCCAUAAAAGACGCAGAACGCAGGCUUGUAGACAGACCAGCAGCUGGACAAGCAGAACAGCCGAGGACAAAGCCUGCUGAUGGACCGCAACCACAACCAGCCGGUCACGAUCAAGCACAGCCGGAACAGCAGCGCCCCUCCCACACGAGACAUACGCGACAAUAUAGCUGCUGGGCUUUUCUCUUCUGAGAGCGAUAGUGACAACGACGUCAGCAGGGAGUCCCAAGAAAACAAUAGGCGCAGACGUCGCCGUCCGCUCGCUGAACUAGUCCGGGAAAAUCACGAACUAUAUAAUAAGUUUAUGAAGAGGAAAAUGCCAAGGCUUUUGAGAGACAUUGGCUACGAUUCGUCUGAAUCUAAUUAGAUGUUUUGCUUUCAAAUACCAUUUUAAUAAAAAGUGUCUUGAAUCCAGAAAUAAUUUGUAUUUGCCUUGCUUUCAGCUUAAUGUGUUUUGAGAAGUCCCCCAAAUAUAAUAUAUAGUUCACGGACCGCUCUCCAUGUUCAUUGUCGUCCGCACAAGUACAAUAAAUACUUUCGGUAUCACAAGUGUGAAGCUGAUUAUCAAUUUGUAGCAAAUCAUUGAACGAGCACCCAAAAAUUUCAUAUGACAUUUUUAGGGCUGACAGUGGAACAUCAUCAUCAUC